CCUACGGGAGGCAGCAGUGAGGAAUAUUGGUCAAUGGGCGAGAGCCUGAACCAGCCAAGUCGCGUGCAGGAUGAAGGAUCUAUGGUUUGUAAACUUCUUUUAUAUGGGAAUAAAGUGAGGAACGUGUUCCUUUUUGUAUGUACCAUAUGAAUAAGCAUCGGCUAAUUCCGUGCCAGCAGCCGCGGUAAUACGGAGGAUUCGAGCGUUAUCCGGAUUUAUUGGGUUUAAAGGGUGCGUAGGUGGUUAAUUAAGUCAGCGGUGAAAGGUUGUGGCUCAAUCAUAAAAUUGCCGUUGAAACUGGUUGACUUGAGGAUAGUGGAGGUAGGCGGAAUGCGUGGUGUAGCGGUGAAAUGCAUAGAUAUCACGCAGAACUCCGAUUGCGAAGGCAGCUUACUAAACUAUAACUGACACUGAAGCACGAAGGCGUGGGGAUCGAACAGGAUUAGAUACCCUAGUAGUC
RNAcentral lists this ribosomal RNA (460 nucleotides) under uncultured bacterium. Its description in RNAcentral is "partial 16S ribosomal RNA". It matches the Rfam family "Bacterial small subunit ribosomal RNA", at positions 338 to 795 of the family's 1533-position model. The record is from RNAcentral.